Nicotiana tabacum (common tobacco) is the source of this 546-nucleotide non-coding RNA. The record is from RefSeq and is a predicted model, not a curated record. Lineage: Eukaryota; Viridiplantae; Streptophyta; Magnoliopsida; Solanales; Solanaceae.
GGCUACUCCCACAUAUAUGCUUUUCUUCUCUUUCGAUAUAUCCCUUAGAAAAGCAGACACAAGAAAAAGUAACAGAGAAAUGAUCCAUCACAAGACCAAUUCAAUCAGGUUCAGGGUUAUUUCCAUCGGCUGUGCUGGAUUUGAUUGUUCUAGCUUGCGUUGAUGACGGUUCUUUGUGAUAUAAUUGGAAAACACUGUAUCAGUUUCACAGUCAAUACGGAGGUAAUUUUCGUACCUUUUUCUUAAAUUUUUCUAUUUUGUACUUAUGGGGUUGUAAUCUUUUAGAAUCUUGAUCUUUUAUGUUUUUUCUUUUACGUCAUUGCUCUCAGGAGAGGUUUGAGGCUAAUAAAUUUGUUUUCUCUUCUUAGUUCUCUAUUUCACGCAUUUUUAUUUAAAAAAUGACAUUUCUUAGAGUGAAUGUUUAAGCUAGAUAUAGGGAUUAAUAUCGAUACCUUUAUUUUACGUAUCAACUACAAAAAUUUAUGUAUUUUUUCCCCCUUAUUCAUGUCCGAAUAUACUAGUGUAAAUGAGUUUUUUCAUAUUUGA